This 467-nucleotide ribosomal RNA is filed under the name uncultured bacterium. Its description in RNAcentral is "partial 16S ribosomal RNA". It matches the Rfam family "Bacterial small subunit ribosomal RNA", at positions 28 to 507 of the family's 1533-position model. The record is from RNAcentral.
GAUGAACGCUGGCGGCGUGCUUAACACAUGCAAGUCGAACGAUGAAGCCCAGCUUGCUGGGUGGAUUAGUGGCGAACGGGUGAGUAACACGUGAGCAACCUGCCCCUGACUCUGGGAUAAGCGCUGGAAACGGCGUCUAAUACUGGAUAUGUCCCGUCACCGCAUGGUGUGCGGGUGGAAAGAUUUUUCGGUUGGGGAUGGGCUCGCGGCCUAUCAGCUUGUUGGUGAGGUAAUGGCUCACCAAGGCGUCGACGGGUAGCCGGCCUGAGGGGGUGACCGGCCACACUGGGACUGAGACACGGCCCAGACUCCUACGGGAGGCAGCAGUGGGGAAUAUUGCACAAUGGGCGGAAGCCUGAUGCAGCAACGCCGCGUGAGGGAUGACGGCCUUCGGGUUGUAAACCUCUUUUAGCAGGGAAGAAGCGAAAGUGACGGUACCUGCAGAAAAAGCACCGGCUAACUACGUG